CGGCAGGCCUAACACAUGCAAGUCGAACGGUAACAGGAAGCAGCUUGCUGCUUCGCUGACGAGUGGCGGACGGGUGAGUAAUGUCUGGGAAACUGCCUGAUGGAGGGGGAUAACUACUGGAAACGGUAGCUAAUACCGCAUAAUGUCGCAAGACCAAAGAGGGGGACCUUCGGGCCUCUUGCCAUCGGAUGUGCCCAGAUGGGAUUAGCUUGUUGGUGGGGUAACGGCUCACCAAGGCGACGAUCCCUAGCUGGUCUGAGAGGAUGACCAGCCACACUGGAACUGAGACACGGUCCAGACUCCUACGGGAGGCAGCAGUGGGGAAUAUUGCACAAUGGGCGCAAGCCUGAUGCAGCCAUGCCGCGUGUAUGAAGAAGGCCUUCGGGUUGUAAAGUACUUUCAGCGGGGAGGAAGGGAGUAAAGUUAAUACCUUUGCUCAUUGACGUUAUCCGCAGAAGAAGCACCGGCUAACUCCGUGCCAGCA
This 484-nucleotide ribosomal RNA is filed under the name uncultured bacterium. Its description in RNAcentral is "bacterial SSU rRNA". It matches the Rfam family "Bacterial small subunit ribosomal RNA", at positions 40 to 513 of the family's 1533-position model. The record is from RNAcentral.